UGAACUUUUUUUAGUUGUUGGUUCUGUGAGU
Molecule: non-coding RNA, 31 nt
Filed under: Rattus norvegicus (Norway rat)
Lineage: Eukaryota; Metazoa; Chordata; Mammalia; Rodentia; Muridae
Source: RNAcentral